RNAcentral lists this ribosomal RNA (452 nucleotides) under uncultured bacterium. RNAcentral describes it as "partial 16S ribosomal RNA". It matches the Rfam family "Bacterial small subunit ribosomal RNA", at positions 28 to 507 of the family's 1533-position model. The record is from RNAcentral.
GAUGAACGCUGGCGGCGUGCCUAACACAUGCAAGUCGAGCGAUUUACUUCGGUAAAGAGCGGCGGACGGGUGCGUAACGCGUGGGUAACCUGCCCUGUACACACGGAUAACAUACCGAAAGGUAUGCUAAUACGAGAUAAUAUGCUUUUAUCGCAUGGUAGAAGUAUCAAAGCUUUUGCGGUACAGGAUGGACCCGCGUCUGAUUAGCUAGUUGGUGAGGUAACGGCUCACCAAGGCGACGAUCAGUAGCCGACCUGAGAGGGUGAUCGGCCACAUUGGAACUGAGACACGGUCCAAACUCCUACGGGAGGCAGCAGUGGGGAAUAUUGCACAAUGGGCGAAAGCCUGAUGCAGCAACGCCGCGUGAGCGAUGAAGGCCUUCGGGUCGUAAAGCUCCGUCCUCAAGGAAGAUAAUGACGGUACUUGAGGAGGAAGCCCCGGCUAACUACGUG